AUUGAACGCUGGCGGCAUGCUUUACACAUGCAAGUCGAACGGUAACAGGCCUUCGGGUGCUGACGAGUGGCGCACGGGUGAGUAAUGCAUCGGAACGUGCCCAGAGGUGGGGGAUAACGCAGCGAAAGCUGUGCUAAUACCGCAUGUGAUCUGAGGAUGAAAGCGGGGGACCAGGCAGCAAUGUUUGGCCUCGCGCCUUUGGAGCGGCCGAUGUCAGAUUAGGUAGUUGGUGGGGUAAAGGCCUACCAAGCCGACGAUCUGUAGCUGGUCUGAGAGGACGACCAGCCACACUGGGACUGAGACACGGCCCAGACUCCUACGGGAGGCAGCAGUGGGGAAUUUUGGACAAUGGGCGCAAGCCUGAUCCAGCAAUGCCGCGUGCGGGAAGAAGGCCUUCGGGUUGUAAACCGCUUUUGUACGGAACGAAAAGGCUCUGGCUAAUACCUGGGGCUGAUGACGGUACCGUAAGAAUAAGCACCGGCUAACUACGUG
This 492-nucleotide ribosomal RNA is filed under the name uncultured bacterium. RNAcentral describes it as "partial 16S ribosomal RNA". It matches the Rfam family "Bacterial small subunit ribosomal RNA", at positions 30 to 507 of the family's 1533-position model. The record is from RNAcentral.